This 486-nucleotide ribosomal RNA is filed under the name uncultured bacterium. RNAcentral describes it as "bacterial SSU rRNA". It matches the Rfam family "Bacterial small subunit ribosomal RNA", at positions 28 to 513 of the family's 1533-position model. The record is from RNAcentral.
GAUGAACGCUAGCGGCAGGCUUAAUACAUGCAAGUCGUGGGGCAGCAUGAGUAGCAAUACUUGAUGGCGACCGGCAAACGGGUGAGGAACACGUACACAACCUUCCUUCAAGCGGGGAAUAGCCCAGAGAAAUUUGGAUUAAUACCCCAUAAUAUAUUUGAUAAGGCAUCUUAUUAAUAUUAAAGCUUCGGCACUUGAUGAUGGGUGUGCGGCUGAUUAGAUAGUUGGCGGGUAACGGCCCACCAAGUCUACGAUCAGUAGCUGAUGUGAGAGCAUGAUCAGCCACACGGGCACUGAGACACGGGCCCGACUCCUACGGGAGGCAGCAGUAAGGAUAUUGGACAAUGGACGAAAGUCUGAUCCAGCCAUGCCGCGUGAAGGAUUAAGGUCCUCUGGAUUGUAAACUUCUUUAUAUGGGACAAAAAGGGCAUUCUUGUUCACUUGACGGUACCAUAUGAAUAAGCACCGGCUAACUCCGUGCCAGCA